AAGUCGUAACAAGGUUUCCGUAGGUGAACCUGCGGAAGGAUCAUUACAAAUCCACCGAGAGAAGAGCGGAGUGCGCGGGGUGAAGCGAAACGAGGACGCGCGCGCGCAUAUGCGCACGGAUCCGCCGUCGAGCCCACACCACGCCACGCUCUCUCACACAAACCACGUUUAAAUGUUCUCUCAGAGAGAGGGGAGGGGAGGAGAGGAAAGGGGGAGAGAGAAAGGGUGGAGAGAGGUGGGUGGUGUCACAUCAUCAUCACCCUCUCUUGCUUGCUCACUCGCUCGCCCCCUCCUCGCUCGCCUCUCUCUUUUACAACACACUAGUACGAUCUCGUUGCUUCAGUUGUUAUAUACAUACACAAUGUAUCAAACACGAAACAACUUAUAACAAUGGAUCUCUAGGCUCUU
Molecule: unclassified non-coding RNA, 408 nt
Filed under: fungal sp.
Lineage: Eukaryota; Fungi
Description: partial internal transcribed spacer region
Rfam family: Eukaryotic small subunit ribosomal RNA (bases 1-46)
Source: RNAcentral